RNAcentral lists this long non-coding RNA (1188 nucleotides) under Salmo salar (Atlantic salmon). RNAcentral's name for it is "lncRNA (ENSSSAG00000111415.1)". The record is from RNAcentral. Lineage: Eukaryota; Metazoa; Chordata; Actinopteri; Salmoniformes; Salmonidae.
AAUAGAAACGCCAGAUUCCGGUGCGUAACCAAGUAAUAGCAUAUCAUGGCAACAGUUCGACUUGGUUAAAAACAACAACAUCAACAACAACAACAACAACGUGGAGGCAGUAGCAUCCCACACACUUUCUUAGCUAAGCAUCUGAUCAAGUACCUGACACUACAUACCCUGUAUGUUACACAUGUAACCAGAACAUUACACUAUUCAACACAGUAACUAUCUGACACAUACUUAUCUGACAGUGGUACUCAGACUCAGUCUCUGCUAGUCAAUCCAUCAGUCACAAGCACACAUACAAGAGAAUCGUCCCAAAUGGCAUUUACCCAUAAGGCUCUGGUCAAAAGUUGUGGCCUUUAUAGAGGAAAAUGUUCCAUUUGGGACGCAGACAUAGUCACAGAGGUGACGUUAGGGAGGUCACAGAGGUGACGUUAGGGAGGGUCACAGAGGUGACGUUAGGGGGGUCACAGAGGUGGCGUUCUGAGGCUCAUGUCCCAUUGCUGUGUCACCACAGUGACCCGGUGAGGGUGUCGGUCUAACAGAGGUAUGACAUCACAAAAACGCCACACGGGUUAAUGCUGCAUGAAUUGCAAAACUCCCUUUCAACUAAAGUACAAAUGUAAAAAAAAUAGAUAAAAAACAUGAGACAAAAAUAGAAGACAAAUAAGAUCGAAGACAAACCCAGAGAACACAUAUUAGUUAAAAAGGUCUAUAAAAAUACUACUAUAGCUACUGUAGAAAGAGCAGCCCUGCAGGCCUCCGAGGUUUCUCUCCAGAGGUUUCUCUCCAGAGGUUUCUCUCCAGAGGUUUCUCUCCAGAGGUUUCUCUUCAGAGGUUUGUCUUCAGAGGUUUCUCUUCAGAGGUUUCCCUCCAGAGGUUUCUCUCCAGAGGUUUCUCUCCAGAGGUUUCUCUCCAGAGGUUUCUCUCCAGAGGUUUCUCUCCAGAGGUUUCUCUUCAGAGGUUUCUCUCCAGAGGUUUCUCUCCAGAGGUUUCCCUCCAGAGUUUUCUCUCCAGAGGUUUCUCUUCAAGAGGUUUCUCUCCAGAGGUUUCUCUGGACCGGGUCCUGGAGAUGGAGGCAGUGUGUGAGGCCGCCCGUCCCGUACUAACAAACAGACAGCCCUCAGAGAGCCAGGCAAGGGGGGGUUAGACCAGGGAUGGGAUGGGGUUGGGGCUGGGGGUACGGCUUGGGGG